GAUGAACGCUGGCGGCGUGCCUAAUACAUGCAAGUCGAGCGAACGGACGAGAAGCUUGCUUCUCUGAUGUUAGCGGCGGACGGGUGAGUAACACGUGGAUAACCUACCUAUAUGACUUGGAUAACUUCGUGAAACCGGAGCUAAUACCGGAUAAUAUUUUGUACCGCAUGGUUCAAAAGUGAAAGACGGUCUUGCUGUCACUUAUAGAUGGAUCCGCGUUGCAUUAGCUAGUUGGUAAGGUAACGGCUUACCAAGGCAACGAUGCAUAGCCGACCUGAGAGGAUGAUCGGCCACACUGGAACUGAGACACGGUCCAGACUCCUACGGGAGGCAGCAGUAGGGAAUCUUCCGCAAUGGGCGAAAGCCUGACGGAGCAACGCCGCGUGAGUGAUGAAGGUCUUCGGAUCGUAAAACUCUGUUAUUAGGGAAGAACAUAUGUGGAAGUAACUGUGCACAUCUUGACGGUACCUAAUCAGAAAGCCACGGCUAACUACGUG
Molecule: ribosomal RNA, 497 nt
Filed under: uncultured bacterium
Lineage: Bacteria
Description: partial 16S ribosomal RNA
Rfam family: Bacterial small subunit ribosomal RNA
Source: RNAcentral